ACACAGGGCCAAAUCACCCUGUGGCCCAAGACCAGUUACUCACUGAAUUUAAGCAGGGCUGAGCCUGGUCAGUACCUGGAUGGGUGACCACAUGGGAAAACUAGGUUGCUGUUGGAG
Molecule: ribosomal RNA, 117 nt
Filed under: Danio rerio (zebrafish)
Lineage: Eukaryota; Metazoa; Chordata; Actinopteri; Cypriniformes; Danionidae
Source: RNAcentral